RNAcentral lists this long non-coding RNA (1819 nucleotides) under Cairina moschata (Muscovy duck). Its description in RNAcentral is "domestica (muscovy Duck (domestic type)) lncRNA (ENSCMMG00000002290.1)". The record is from RNAcentral. Lineage: Eukaryota; Metazoa; Chordata; Aves; Anseriformes; Anatidae.
GCCAACACCACCAUGCAGGCCCCGUAACCCCGCUCAGGAGAGGGACCUGAAGCAUGAGGUGACUUCUGCCCAGCCUGUGGUGGGGGCACCCAGACACAGGUUCAAGCUGUGUGGGAUCCCUGUGCAGGAUCCAAGCCUCUUUGACCAUCUCCUGGACUUUCAGCCACGAGGAAAGGCCUCCCUGCCUUGGGGUGCAGAGCUGAGAGGUGCCUCACAGCCAGCACCUGAGCUGGGUCCUGCAUGGAGCAUCCUGGCCCCAGGCAUUUUUCCUUUUUGACUUGCUCACGAAUCAAACCCGGUUUGAAUACAGAGCCUCAGGCCAUUUCUGCCUCGAUUCAGAUCUUACAAGCAUAGCUGCAAACCUACCAAGAAGUUUUUCAUGUGUCUGCCUUCUCUGGAUUCAGCGCAGCAAAGGCCACAUCUAGCUGAAAUGAAUACCCAUGUGUGAGAAGCAACGACGGUGUCUUGUUGUGGAAAGCUUGUGCUCACCGAGGCUGGAAAGACCUUCAAAGAAAAGCUCUGGUGAUCCUGGGCAACUGGGAAUUCUCACGUUGAUGAUAGAUCAAACCAAGACUUCCAAUGUAACUGCUGUACAAAUUGUCAGCCUGACCUCUCUCUGCACCUGUCCUGUUUGGAGGACGACAUUUUCAAAAACAGCCCAACAAUUCAUGCCUACAAGAGCCCUUGGAAGCAAUAAUGGAGCAAUAACCACCCACCUGUUUCUGGACUCACAAACCAGUGAAAGAAAGGCUGGUUCAGUAGUUAGAGUUUUGGCACAUGACUUCAGUAAUCUAAGUUCAACUCGCCGUUUCUUGAAUCUCUCUUAGCCCAGCUCUAAAGCAAAGCUGAAAACAUUUCUUCCUCAUGAGACCACUGGGAGGCUUCAAUCGCGGUCUGUAUGUGCUGACAUCAUGGAGUAGAUCUGAUUGAUGGAUGUCUCCUGAUACAUCACAGUUUGUGAAGCAUUUGGAGCUCUUCUGAUGCGUAAAGCCAUAAAAGUGCAAAAUUUUCUCUCUUCUAGAGAACAAAAUGUAUUCACUACUUGUGCUGGCAUAGUCUGGACUAAAAUUAAAUCUAUUGUGUUAAAUGGUACACAGACAAAUGAGUCUUAAGGCUCACAUGGAAACUAAUGCAUGGAGACAGCUUGUUUUGAAAGGACAGGCUACUUAAGUGCUUCAGAUACUACAGAUGGUGAAAUAGAUGUUGAAAAUCCAGUUAGUUUGGGCUUUUGUGUAGAGAGACUUUACAAGUACAGGAAGUUUUCACUCUCAUGGAUAAAGCUCAUAUUUAUUCUUCACUGCAGUGGACAGAUGCACAAGCAGUUAAAAGAGGAGCAACUGGGGCAUAAACUGGGGUUCAAUCCAUCACCGACUUCCUUUGCUGCUGUGGGGAAGUUGCUUAGACACAGUGAGCCUCUGUUUAUCUGUAAACAUGGAAAAAAUAAUCCUUAUUCCACCUCACAGUGGUCCUAGAUCCUAAUGCUCAUUUAUCAGAUUUUUUAAAAAGCCCAUUUAUGUACCAUCCAGCUGUCUGGGACAGCAGAGAGCCUCAUCUGGCUGUAGCCUAAAACAAAGUUCCCUGAUGCUUCAGAGGUGUUAUGGGACCAUUUCAGGGUGUCAAACAUAAAGUCCUGGCCAGAGUCCAAGUUCAGCGUAGUCCCAACCUGUCUCCUGGAAAUUGCUCUUCUCAUGUUCAGUAGGGUAAGCUCUUGUCUGUUUUGCAUUGCUAUUGUGAACCAUUAAAAGAGCUGACAUGCUUCACCCCAGAGGAGCUGCAUGCUAUAAUUGGUAAAUCUUUUUUUAAAGUAAAGCAGCGCGUG